GACACAGGUGCUGCAUGGCCGUCGUCAGCUCGUGUCGUGAGAUGUUGGGUUAAGUCCCGUAACGAGCGCAACCCCUAUCCCUGGUUGCUAACAGGUAAUGCUGAGAACUCCAGGGAGACUGCCGGUGACAAACCGGAGGAAGGUGGGGAUGACGUCAGGUCAUCAUGGCCCUUACGGCCAGGGCUACACACGUGCUACAAU
Molecule: ribosomal RNA, 201 nt
Filed under: Nephroselmis pyriformis
Lineage: Eukaryota; Viridiplantae; Chlorophyta; Nephroselmidophyceae; Nephroselmidales; Nephroselmidaceae
Description: partial Bacterial small subunit ribosomal RNA
Rfam family: Bacterial small subunit ribosomal RNA
Source: RNAcentral